GAUGAACGCUGGCGGCGUGCCUAAUACAUGCAAGUCGAGCGAACAGACGCGGAGCUUGCUCCUCUGACGUUAGCGGCGGACGGGUGAGUAACACGUGGAUAACCUACCUAUAAGACUGGGAUAACUUCGGGAAACCGGAGCUAAUACCGGAUAAUAUAUUGAACCGCAUGGUUCAAUAGUGAAAGACGGUUUUGCUGUCACUUAUAGAUGGAUCCGCGCCGCAUUAGCUAGUUGGUAAGGUAACGGCUUACCAAGGCAACGAUGCGUAGCCGACCUGAGAGGGUGAUCGGCCACACUGGAGCUGGAACACGGUCCGGGGUCCUACGGGAGGCAGCAGUAGGGAAUCUUCCGCAAUGGGCGAGAGCCUGACGGAGCAACGCCGCGUGAGUGAUGAAGAUCUUCGGAUCGUAAAACUCUGUUAUUAGGGAAGAACAAAUGUGUAAGUAACUGUGCACGUCUUGACGGUACCUAAUCAGAAAGCCACGGCUAACUACGUG
RNAcentral lists this ribosomal RNA (497 nucleotides) under uncultured bacterium. RNAcentral describes it as "partial 16S ribosomal RNA". It matches the Rfam family "Bacterial small subunit ribosomal RNA", at positions 28 to 507 of the family's 1533-position model. The record is from RNAcentral.